GAUCAGCUAUCCUGGUUUGUCUGGGACUGAGGGGUUUCCUGGAUCAUGAGACUUUCAGUGCCCAAACUGGUACAG
This 75-nucleotide microRNA precursor is filed under the name Pteropus vampyrus (large flying fox). Its description in RNAcentral is "miRNA (ENSPVAG00000028379.1)". Lineage: Eukaryota; Metazoa; Chordata; Mammalia; Chiroptera; Pteropodidae. The record is from RNAcentral.